CCAGGGAAUGCCUAGACACUAGAGAAUAUCGUGGACGUAAUAAAGUACGAAAGGUUAUGAAAGAACAUUGUAUCUAAAAUGUAAUGAAUCAUAAAUCUCCAUAGAGUAAACUCAUAAAAUAAGUGAAAACUUAUCGACAAACGCAGUGAACUGAAACAUCUAAGUAACUGUGAAAGAAAUCAACCGAGAUUCCGUUAGUAGUGGCGAUCGAACGCGGAUUAGACCUGUUUAAAUGAACAAAAAUUCGAAAUUCUUACCAGAGAAGGUGAAAGUCCUGUAGAAUAUAUAAAGUGAAAUUAAACAUUGAGUAAAAUGGAACACGUGAAAUUCUAUUUGAAUAUUGGGGGCUCACCCUCAAAGUCUAAAAACUCUCUAGUGCUCGAUAGUGUACAAGUACUGUAAAGGAAAGGUGAAAAGUACCGGUAUGGUAAUAAUAUUUAAAAGACCUGAAACUAGAUGUUUACAAACAGUUGAAGCUACGAAAAGUAGUGACAUCGUACCUUUUGCAUAAUGGGCCAAUGACUUUAUAUUUGUAGCGAGCUUAAGCCGUUAGGUGUAGGCGUAGUGAAAACAUAUCUGAAUAGGGUAAGGUUACAAAUAUAAGACCCGAAACCGAGUGAUCUAACCAUGAGCAGGUUGAAGUUCGAAUUAACAUUCGAUGGAGGACCGAACCCACGUAUGUAGAAAAAUGCGGGGAUGACUUGUGGUUAGGGGUGAAAGGCCAAUCAAACUCGGAAAUAGCUGGUUUUUCGCGAAAUCUAUUUAAGUAGAGCAUCUAGUGUUAAUUACUUGGGGUAGAGCACUCAUUAAACUAGGGGGAUAUUGUAUCUUACCAACUUUAGGGAAACUCCGAAUACAAGUAAGCACCAAUCUAGAUAGACAGACUUUGGGUGCUAAGAUUCAAAGUCAAGAGGGAAACAGCCCUCAGUGUACGUUAAGAUCCCUAAAUCUUAUCUAAGUGGACAAGGAAGUGAGAAAGUAAAGACAAUCAGCAGGUAGGCUUGGAAGCAGCCAUCCUCUAAGGAAAGCGUAAUAGCUCACUGGUUUAAUUUUCUUGCGCCGAAAAUAUAUUGGGACUCAAGAUAAGUAUCGAAACGGCAUUUUUAUAUAUAGAUAUAAAAGGUAGCGAAACGUUCCGUAAGUCUAAGAAGGAGAAUUGAAAAAUUCUUUGGAGAUAUCGGAAGUGAGAAUAUUGGCAUGAGUAACGACAAAGAAUGAUAAAACAUUCUCACCGUAAGCCUAAGGGUUCCGACGUAAGGUUAAACUGCGAAGGGUAAGACGGCCCCUAAGGGAAAGACGAAAGUCCUAUCCGAUGGGUAAAAUAUAAUAAAUAUUUAAGUUCUCUUGAGAGUGACUAAGAUUGUAAUUUGCAUACCAUAAACUCAUUAAAUGGAUUUGAGUUGUAAAGAAAAUCUUACAAGAAAUAACUCUUGAACUACGAACCGUACCCUAAACCGACACAGGUAGGCGAGUCGAGUAGACUCAGGUGAUUGAGAGAACUAUGUUGAAGGAACUCGGCAAAAUGGCCCUGUAACUUCGGGAGAAAGGGUACCUUAACAAAACAGGUAGUUCUGUUAAGGUGGCACUGAAUAGGGAGUGGCGACUGUUUAUUAAAAACACAGGACUCUGCUAAAUCGUAAGAUGACGUAUAGGGUCUGACACCUGCCCGGUGCUGGAAAGUUAAUGGGAGGUAUUUUUGUACUGAACUGAAGCCCCAGUAAACGGCGGCCGUAACUCUGACGGUCCAAAGGUAGCGAAAUUCUUUGCCACCUAAUUAGUGGCCUGCAUGAAUCGCGUAAUGACUUCUUUACUGUCUCUUACACAGACUCAGUGAAAUUGAAAUAUCCGUGAAGAUGCGGAUUACUCACAGCUAGACGGAAAGACCCUGUACACCUUUACUGCAUUUAUUGAUUGCAAAAAUGUAUUUGUUGUGUAGAAUAGGUGGGAGCACGAUACCUUUUUGGUACUGUGCGCCAGUGAAAUACCACCCUGCAUUUAUGUUGAUGCUAACUUAUUUCUAUAAGAACAGUUUAUAAUUGGUAGUUUGACUGGGGCGGUCGCCUUCUAAAAGGUAACGAAGGCGUGCAUAAGGUAAACUCAAAUAAAUAAAUCUUUUAUUGAAGAGUGCAAUAGCAAAAGUUUGCUUGACUGUAAGAAUAACGAUUCGAACAGGGGCGUAAGCCGGCUAUAGUGAUCCGGUGAUACUGAAUGGAAAGGUCAUCGCUCAACGGAUAAAAGGUACGUCAGGGAUAACAGGCUAAUGACUCCUUAGAGUUCCUAUCGACGGAGUUGUUUGGCACCUCGAUGUCGGCUAGUCACAUCCUGGAGCUGAAGCAGGUUCCAAGGGUUAGGUUGUUCGCCUAUUAAAGUGGCACUUGAGCUGGGUUCAGAACGCCGUGAGGCAGUUUGGUCCCUAUCUACUGUGAGCGUUAGAAAAUUGAAGAAAUUAAACCCUAGUACGAGAGGACCGGGAAACGUAAACCUCUGGUGUAGCGAUUGUUUUUAAAAAAGCAUCGUCGCGUAGCUACGUUUAUACUAGAUAAUCGCUGAAAGCAUCUAAGUGAGAAACUAUUUCUAAGAUUAAUUUUCUUUUUAGGGCUGUGGCAUAACACCACGUUGAUAGGUGCGGAGUUUAACGAUUGUAAGAUUCUAGCUACUGCAUACUAAAAGCCUGAAAUAAUCUUUUAU
RNAcentral lists this ribosomal RNA (2688 nucleotides) under metagenome. RNAcentral's name for it is "bacterial LSU rRNA". It matches the Rfam family "Bacterial large subunit ribosomal RNA". The record is from RNAcentral.